Molecule: ribosomal RNA, 427 nt
Filed under: uncultured beta proteobacterium
Lineage: Bacteria; Pseudomonadati; Pseudomonadota; Betaproteobacteria
Description: bacterial SSU rRNA
Rfam family: Bacterial small subunit ribosomal RNA
Source: RNAcentral
UGGGGAAUUUUGGACAAUGGGCGAAAGCCUGAUCCAGCCAUGCCGCGUGAGUGAAGAAGGCCUUCGGGUUGUAAAGCUCUUUUAGUCGGAAAGAAAGAGUUGCAAUGAAUAAUUGUGAUUUAUGACGGUACCGACAGAAAAAGCACCGGCUAACUACGUACCAGCAGCCGCGGUAAUACGUAGGGUGCGAGCGUUAAUCGGAAUUACUGGGCGUAAAGGGUGCGCAGGCGGUCUUGCAAGUCAGAUGUGAAAGCCCCGGGCUUAACCUGGGAAUUGCGUUUGAAACUACAAGGCUAGAGUGCAGCAGAGGGGAGUGGAAUUCCAUGUGUAGCAGUGAAAUGCGUAGAGAUGUGGAAGAACACCGAUGGCGAAGGCAGCUCCCUGGGUUGACACUGACGCUCAUGCACGAAAGCGUGGGGAGCAAACA